GCCAGCAGCCAUAUCACCCUGCAACUCACAACUGGCAGCCCACUGAAGCUAAGCAGAUGUGAGCCUGGUCAGUACCUGGAUGGGAGACCUGGGAAAAAACUAAGGUUGCUGCUGGAA
RNAcentral lists this ribosomal RNA (117 nucleotides) under Lepisosteus oculatus (spotted gar). Lineage: Eukaryota; Metazoa; Chordata; Actinopteri; Semionotiformes; Lepisosteidae. The record is from RNAcentral.